CGGGCUUUCCUUAGGGGCUGGGGGGCUAACCAUGGCAGCGAGUCCAAAAGGGAGAGGGAGUGCAUCGUGGCAGAAAUCGCUCGUCUCGACUCGCAGGCGGAUGUAAGAACCUUCUCUGGUGCCGAAUGGGAGCUUAGAUACUCCCUUGAACACCAAGUCCUGGCUAUUCUCAGGGCGGAGGAGGAAUAUUGGCACCAAAGGGGUGGUGUCAAGUGGGUCGUGAAAGGUGACGCCAACACGGGUUACUUCCACGCGUACGCUAACGGUCGCAAACGUAAGAGUACUAUUCUUAGGCUUCAGUCGGAGCGGGGGACAUUGAUUACCCAGAACGAGAUAGUUAAGUACAUCUUUGACUUCUUCGUUGAGCUGUUGGGAGCAGCCGAGGCUAAGAGUCUAAGUCUACAGGGAAGACUUAUGGGGACUGCAUGA
RNAcentral lists this ribosomal RNA (429 nucleotides) under Triticum aestivum (bread wheat). Its description in RNAcentral is "partial small subunit ribosomal RNA". Lineage: Eukaryota; Viridiplantae; Streptophyta; Magnoliopsida; Poales; Poaceae. The record is from RNAcentral.